Long non-coding RNA from Ornithodoros turicata, 770 nucleotides. RefSeq lists it as uncharacterized. The transcript has 3 exons. Lineage: Eukaryota; Metazoa; Arthropoda; Arachnida; Ixodida; Argasidae. The record is from RefSeq and is a predicted model, not a curated record.
CGUGUUCCUUGUGACCUCGCAACUGGAACCACUAGAUACUUUGAGGCACUUGCGCUGAGCUACUGUCUACUCAGCUUGCUUUCGCCAUCGUGGUUUGUGUCUCGCGUGCCAUCGGCCUUCGUCUUGGAUCUGUGAUUUCCGCCACGUGUUUCAAGACUGCGAUAGCACAGUACUCUCAUCAGUGUUUUUGGCUAUCAACACUAUCGAUGAACUUCGUGAAAGCCCUACUGGUGGAACAUCUGCUUAUUACAUCGAGCAACAGUACGUCACUCACCCAUCGUCAACAGCAUUCUUCUGUACAAAAGAAGAUAGGUCGCUUCUUUUCGUCAGUGGGUCCAGAAAGAGAGCUGCAAUGCAGUCCCUAACGGCUCGUCCUCAUGUUUUUCAGACUCCCCGGUUGGUCACCCCAGGAAAUCAUUGCCCUCCGGCGAAGAACAUGACUGCCUAUGAUUCAUCGUACCCCUUUACCUUUGUUUGACAAAGCACGUGUGCUCCCUCUCUCCUUGUACAUAUUCCCCUCUCAUUCUUUGCAACUGUCUUGCGUCACCAUAGUAUCCCAUUCCUGUUGAAGACAGCGCUGCUGUCGAAACGUCGAAUAAUACCCCCUCUUAGUUUUUAAUAAAGUCCCCCUUUUAUUCCUUAUCCUGUAGAAGCACCGUCUCCACUUCUGAUCUUUAUUGAAUACCUUUAUUUUUCGUGGUCAACCGCAUUCGUUUAUUUCAACUUAUAUAUAUAUAUAUAUGGAUGGCUGAGGUUAGAAGGGAUGAGAG